Molecule: ribosomal RNA, 434 nt
Filed under: uncultured bacterium
Lineage: Bacteria
Description: partial 16S ribosomal RNA
Rfam family: Bacterial small subunit ribosomal RNA
Source: RNAcentral
AGCGAACGCUGGCGGCAGGCCUAACACAUGCAAGUCGAACGAACCUUUCGGGGUUAGUGGCGGACGGGUGAGUAACACGUGGGAACGUGCCUUUAGGUUCGGAAUAACUCAGGGAAACUUGUGCUAAUACCGAAUGUGCCCUUCGGGGGAAAGAUUUAUCGCCUUUAGAGCGGCCCGCGUCUGAUUAGCUAGUUGGUUGAGGUAAUGGCUCACCAAGGCGACGAUCAGUAGCUGGUCUGAGAGGAUGAUCAGCCACAUUGGGACUGAGACACGGCCCAAACUCCUACGGGAGGCAGCAGUGGGGAAUCUUGCGCAAUGGGCGAAAGCCUGACGCAGCCAUGCCGCGUGAAUGAUGAAGGUCUUAGGGUUGUAAAGCUCUUUCAGCUGGGAAGAUAAUGACGGUACCAGCAGAAGAAGCCCCGGCUAACUCCGUG